GUGCCAGCAGCCGCGGUAAUACCGGCAGCCCGAGUGAUGGCCGAUCUUAUUGGGCCUAAAGCGUCCGUAGCUGGCCGCGCAAGUCCGUCGGAAAAUCCACCCGCCCAACGGGUGGGCGUCCGAUGGAAACUGCAUAGCUUGGGACCGGGAGGCUCGAAGGGUACGUCCGGGGUAGGAGUGAAAUCCCAUAAUCCUGGACGGACCGCCGAUGGCGAAAGCACGUCGAGAAGACGGAUCCGACAGUGAGGGACGAAAGCUAGGGUCUCGAACCGGAUUAGAUACCCCAGUAGUCC
RNAcentral lists this ribosomal RNA (293 nucleotides) under uncultured bacterium. RNAcentral describes it as "partial 16S ribosomal RNA". It matches the Rfam family "Archaeal small subunit ribosomal RNA", at positions 455 to 747 of the family's 1478-position model. The record is from RNAcentral.